This 172-nucleotide ribosomal RNA is filed under the name uncultured bacterium. Its description in RNAcentral is "partial 16S ribosomal RNA". It matches the Rfam family "Bacterial small subunit ribosomal RNA", at positions 1327 to 1500 of the family's 1533-position model. The record is from RNAcentral.
CGGAAUUGCUAGUAAUGGCAGGUCAGCAUACUGCCGUGAAUACGUUCCCGGGCCUUGUACACACCGCCCGUCACACCAUGAGAGUUGGGAAUACCCGAAGCCUGUGAGCUAACGUAAGAGGCAGCAGUCGAAGGUAGAAUCAAUGAUUGGGGUGAAGUCGUAACAAGGUAUC